RNAcentral lists this ribosomal RNA (468 nucleotides) under uncultured bacterium. RNAcentral's name for it is "partial 16S ribosomal RNA". It matches the Rfam family "Bacterial small subunit ribosomal RNA", at positions 28 to 507 of the family's 1533-position model. The record is from RNAcentral.
GACGAACGCUGGCGGCGUGCUUAACACAUGCAAGUCGAACGGAAAGGCCCUGCUUUUGUGGGGUGCUCGAGUGGCGAACGGGUGAGUAACACGUGAGUAACCUGCCCUUGACUUUGGGAUAACUUCAGGAAACUGGGGCUAAUACCGGAUAGGAGCUCCUGCUGCAUGGUGGGGGUUGGAAAGUUUCGGCGGUUGGGGAUGGACUCGCGGCUUAUCAGCUUGUUGGUGGGGUAGUGGCUUACCAAGGCUUUGACGGGUAGCCGGCCUGAGAGGGUGACCGGCCACAUUGGGACUGAGAUACGGCCCAGACCCCUACGGGAGGCAGCAGUGGGGAAUAUUGCACAAUGGGCGGAAGCCCGAUGCAGCAACGCCGCGUGCGGGAUGACGGCCUUCGGGUUGUAAACCGCUUUCGCCUGUGACGAAGCGUGAGUGACGGUAAUGGGUAAAGAAGCACCGGCUAACUACGUG